Molecule: ribosomal RNA, 547 nt
Filed under: uncultured bacterium
Lineage: Bacteria
Description: bacterial SSU rRNA
Rfam family: Bacterial small subunit ribosomal RNA
Source: RNAcentral
UGGGGAAUAUUGCGCAAUGGGGGGAACCCUGACGCAGCCAUGCCGCGUGAAUGAAGAAGGCCUUAGGGUUGUAAAGUUCUUUCGGUAUUGAGGAAGGUUGAUGUGUUAAUAGCACAUCAAAUUGACGUUAAAUACAGAAGAAGCACCGGCUAACUCCGUGCCAGCAGCCGCGGUAAUACGGAGGGUGCGAGCGUUAAUCGGAAUAACUGGGCGUAAAGGGCACGCAGGCGGUUAUUUAAGUGGGGUGUGAAAGCCCUGGGCUUAACCUAGGAAUUGCAUUUCAGACUGGGUAACUAGAGUACUUUAGGGAGGGGUAGAAUUCCACGUGUAGCGGUGAAAUGCGUAGAGAUGUGGAGGAAUACCGAAGGUGAAGGCAGCCCCUUGGGAAUGUACUGACGCUCAUGUGCGAAAGCGUGGGGAGCAAACAGGAUUAGAUACCCUGGUAGUCCACGCUGUAAACGCUGUCGAUUUGGGGGUUGGGGUUUAACUCUGGCGCCCGUAGCUAACGUGAUAAAUCGACCGCCUGGGGAGUACGGCCGCAAGGUUA